CAAGCUCUAGCCAUCGUCGCCACGCCAUUUUUUCAUUCUGCGAUCGUUUUAGGGCAGCGGAGCAGCGUUUGUCACCUUCCGUGCCUGCCGAAGUCUCCUACUCAGCUACCAAGGUGCCAGGAUGCCUAGACUGCGGGAGAAGCCGCACGCGCGAAAAAAGAGCGUCGCUGGAAACAAAGACAAUAUUCGAGGACUUCGGAUCUCGCACCGGCAGCCAGCAGUCAACAGCUCGAGAAUUCGCAAGUCUAGAACUGUGCAGUGGCGCGUAUACCCCGCACGCAUGCAUUAACAUGUGCGGUCGGGCUGUCCCUGCAAACAUUUGUACGCCUUGUGAUGUUGGUCGCUGCACCGAGGCGACAUCGGAAGUUCAGGACGGUGGUUGUGACACUACGCUCACUAAGGACAAUGGGUAGUUCUGAACUUAGUGUCACACAUUACUUCCCCCCUCUUCUUUGGCUUCUGGAUUGGAUUGGCGCGGCUCGCUACGUGCUUGCGCGCGCUUUUCCGAGCGCAGAUUGGUGUGCGCCUGGUUUCUGCACUAGGCUGUUAUGCGAUCGCUUUUUCGAGCGCAGAUUGAUGUGAGCCUGGUUUCUGCACUAGGCUUUUGCACGAUCGCCUGCUUUUUGCACUGGGCUUUCAAAAGGCGAAGUGAGCGUCGCUUACUGCAGGCGGCAAGUGAUUUGGCUCAUGUACUGCGUGAGCAAAAACAUAGGCACUUGGCUCAUGAAGGAGAUGACCGGCGACUUGCUUAAUCUGUCGGACCAUGUCAUCGCCGACUGGAGGAACUACGCUCGUGAGGUCGUGCGGGACGAGCUGCUGGCGCGACCCCCACUCGGUGGCCCCGGGAGGAUUGUGCAAAUUGAUGAAUGCCUCCUUCGCGGCAAGCGAAAAUACAAUCGAGGCCGCCUGAUGACGGGCGACAACGUUCCGCCGAGCCGCCAAAAUUACGGCGGCAUUGCAGAUCGUGGACCAUGGGUAUUCGGCAUGAUCUGCGUGACCACCGGGGAGCUCCGACUAUUCAAGGUCGACCGACGAGACGCGGCGACGCUAGGCCCCAUUAUUGCAGCCAACGUUGAACCGGGAACCACCAUCCACAGUGAUGAAUGGGCCCCAUACAACUGCAUCCCGAACUUGGUGGGGGCUAACGGAGCAAGACUGAAUUUCCAAUGGGAGGCUGUUAACCACAGCAUGAACUUUGUAGACCCAAUCACGGGCGCUCACACCCAGAAAAUCGAAAGCUACUGGCAGAAGGUGAAGCGCUACCUCGACUCCGCCGGCUACAGGGUGACUCCACAGCUUCUCGAGUCGCACCUGAUAUGGCUAUGGUGGGCAUCGAUUAAUGGGCACAUGCGCUGCAAGGACUCGUUUCUGCGUUUAUUUGAAGCGAUCGCACGGCGCUACCCACUGUGACAUAGUAAUGGAAAAUAAAGCGCACUUUUCUGACCCUUUGCUUUUGUAUGAAUGUUUCCCGGCAUUGCUGCGCGCUUCCAUACACGGUAGGCCCGCGGCGCUGCACUUCCGCAGUAAGCGACGCUCACUUCGCCUUUUGAAAGCCCAGUGCAAAAAGCAGGCGAUCGUGCAAAAUCCUAGUGCAGAAACCAGGCUCACAUCAAUCUGCGCUCGAAAAAGCGAUCGCAUAACAGCCUAGUGCAGAAACCAGGCGCACACCAAUCUGCGCUCGGAAAAGCGCGCGCAAGCACGUAGCGAGCCGCGCCAAUCCAAUCCAGAAGCCAAAGAAGAGGGGGGAAGUAAUGUGUGACACUAAGUUCAGAACUACCAGGACAAUGUGCCUUGUUUCCCUGAUGGAUAUACUCUACGUGACGCUUCGGAUGGUUCACUUCGCUGUGAGAACGGAACAGGAUCCCUUAGGAGAGGUGUACGCACAAGUCAAUGCGGGUUUUCUGGUAAGCAGGACCCCGGAGUCUACAUUUUUCUUUAGCUACCGCGGACUCUUCAUUGGCGCCCUUUUGAUUCUCCUGGCAAAGAGCUUCUCCUGGCUAAUGCGCUCAUGAUCAGAGCUGUAGCCGUCAGUAGCAGCAAGAUCGCCUGCUGAUCUCUACGAAAAAUAAAAAGCUCCUUUUAAAAAAGUGAAGAAUAUAUUAGUUGUUUUUAUCUACAAGUUUGUUUAAUAUCGUGAGAAUAUGGUCACUACGGCCACGGCGGGGACAUUGUAAACGAGAGUACGCAUUCGAUGGCCAAGUGAGUUUUAAUAAUUGUAAGAACGCACUACGCCACGAGAAAGAGCUAUUGUUUAAAGAAAGUGAAGAAUAUAUUGAUUGUUCUUCACUAAUAGUUCGUUUAGCUACGUCAGAAUGUGGAGACAUUGGGAACGAGAGUACGCAUUUGACGGCAAGUUGACUUACGAGAACGCACUACGUCGCGAAUAACACUUAAGCUGCAAUACCAUUAAGCAUGUCCGUGUGGCACCCCGCGAAUGACAUUAAAGUUUAAGGCAUUAGCCAGUUAAUGUCAUUUUUUGUGCCCGUGUCGCAGAGUGCUAGUGAAGUGAUGUAGUCAAGAUUAAUUCCUUCAUGUCAUUUCUGUUGCUUUCGCUGCUUAAUAAUGCUAAUUGAUGUAUUUUUGCUCUUUUUAUUCCAUGCUGCAAACACAAAUGUCAAUGCAGGGUGGGCAAUAAGUAUUUUUUGUUCUGCUGUUCUCUACCUUGUGUUGUGCUAUUGAAAUUGCAAGUUUUCUUCUUUAUCCGUGUAUUUAUUUGUUCUUUGAACAGUACGCAUAUAUCUGCUUAUUGGUCUUUUUAUGUAUAUGUAUAAGGUGACAAUAAACGUUUAAUUGUAUUUGGAA
This is a long non-coding RNA of Dermacentor albipictus, 2802 nucleotides long. RefSeq lists it as uncharacterized. Lineage: Eukaryota; Metazoa; Arthropoda; Arachnida; Ixodida; Ixodidae. The record is from RefSeq and is a predicted model, not a curated record.